Molecule: ribosomal RNA, 491 nt
Filed under: uncultured bacterium
Lineage: Bacteria
Description: bacterial SSU rRNA
Rfam family: Bacterial small subunit ribosomal RNA
Source: RNAcentral
AGGCCUAACACAUGCAAGUCGAGCGGUAACAGAAAGAAAGCUUGCUUUCUUUGCUGACGAGCGGCGGACGGGUGAGUAAUGCCUGGGAAUAUGCCUUAGUGUGGGGGAUAACUAUUGGAAACGAUAGCUAAUACCGCAUAACGUCCUUGUUCAUUACGAGCGGGACCAAAGAGGGGGACCUUCGGGCCUCUCGCGCUAAGAUUAGCCCAGGUGGGAUUAGCUAGUUGGUGAGGUAAAGGCUCACCAAGGCAACGAUCCCUAGCUGGUCUGAGAGGAUGAUCAGCCACACUGGAACUGAGACACGGUCCAGACUCCUACGGGAGGCAGCAGUGGGGAAUAUUGCACAAUGGGGGAAACCCUGAUGCAGCCAUGCCGCGUGUAUGAAGAAGGCCUUCGGGUUGUAAAGUACUUUCAGUUGUGAGGAAGGGUGUGUAGUUAAUAGCUCGCAUGCCUUGACGUUAGCGACAGAAGAAGCACCGGCUAACUCCGUG